Long non-coding RNA from Ictalurus punctatus (channel catfish), 831 nucleotides. The record is from Ensembl. NCBI's taxonomy places the organism in Eukaryota, Metazoa, Chordata, Actinopteri, Siluriformes, Ictaluridae.
GGAAAAUUUGCAUGUUUCCUCAUUUACGAGGCCAUUAAUUGGACAAAGAGUUGCUUCUUUUUGGCCAUGCAAUCAAACCUUGUUUUAAUAUGAAUCAGAGAAAAGACAAAACAAAUAGUUUGGCCAGUCAUAUUAUAGGGUGUAUUUUUUCUACCCCACCUAGUCUUGGUUCUGUCCUCAAUCCCAGCUGGCUAAAAUCAUGUGUAGGCCUUAUAUGCACUACAUACUCGACCAAAUGGUUUUUCUUCACUGGGAAUGAUUUUCAUGGAUUUUAAUUUACUGCUUAGCUUGAAGAUUUGAUCACUGCCUGUCUCAGCUCUUUAGCAUGUGGACACAACAAGAAAAUACGACAAGUGUGAACCACUGGCCAGGCCUGGAGACAAUUAUUCCUGUCUGCUCUCCCAGAGGACCCAUGAGGUUUUCUUGCACUACACCUUUUCUUGCACCUUCUCUGACAAAUUGUUCUGAAUCUGAAUGAGUACCUCUACACUGCCUCCUCUCUCUGUUUAUGAGAGCUCACUGGAGCAGAAAAUUGAAGGUAUGCCCUGCUUAAACCAUCCAAUAGUGAUCUAGUAAAACCUGGUCCAGUAAAGCACUAUUCUAUCCUCCAUGGUUGAUUAAACACACUGAAUUUGGAUCAUUACAUCUGAUCAAAUUUUGUCCCUUUUUGGGCUUUAUGCCACAGAGACAGGAAUGGAUCCAUUUUAGCAAGUGUGUAAAUAAGGUGUAAUUGCAAAUCUCUGGCUAAAUACCGGGCCACAUGUCCAAACGGACAGACUGGCUGUUAUUCACUCAGCUGAGCUGUUUAUGUUAAUGUGGAGUUAAUGCUUU